GGGCCUAUAGCUCAGCUGGUUAGAGCGCACGCCUGAUAAGCGUGGGGUCGAUGGUUCGAGUCCAUUUAGGCCCA
Molecule: transfer RNA, 74 nt
Filed under: Listeria monocytogenes
Lineage: Bacteria; Bacillati; Bacillota; Bacilli; Caryophanales; Listeriaceae
Description: tRNA-Ile
Rfam family: tRNA
About the family: Transfer RNA (tRNA) molecules are approximately 80 nucleotides in length.
Source: RNAcentral